Molecule: ribosomal RNA, 498 nt
Filed under: uncultured bacterium
Lineage: Bacteria
Description: partial 16S ribosomal RNA
Rfam family: Bacterial small subunit ribosomal RNA
Source: RNAcentral
AUUGAACGCUGGCGGCAUGCUUUACACAUGCAAGUCGAACGGUAACGGGCCGCAAGGUGCUGACGAGGGGCGAACGGGUGAGUAAUGCAUCGGAACGUGCACAGUCGUGGGGGAUAACGAAGCGAAAGCUGCGCUAAUACCGCAUACGAUCUAUGGAUGAAAGCGGGGGACCGUAAGGCCUCGCGCGAUUGGAGCGGCCGAUGUCAGAUUAGGUAGUUGGUGGGGUAAAGGCUCACCAAGCCAACGAUCUGUAGCUGGUCUGAGAGGACGACCCGCCACACUGGGACUGAGACACGGCCCAGACUCCGACGGGAGGCAGCAGUGGGGAAUUUUGGACAAUGGGCGCAAGCCUGAUCCAGCAAUGCCGCGUGCAGGAAGAAGGCCUUCGGGUUGUAAACUGCUUUUGUACGGAACGAAACGGCUCUGGUUAAUACCUGGGGCUAAUGACGGUACCGUGAGAAUAAGCACCGGCUAACUACGUGCCAGCCGCCGCCGUAA